UAACGCGUGAGUAACCUGCCCUGGAGUGGGGGACAACAGUUGGAAACGACUGCUAAUACCGCAUAAGCCCACGAUCCGGCAUCAGAUUGAGGGAAAAGGAUUUAUUCGCUUCAGGAUGGACUCGCGUCCAAUUAGCUAGUUGGUGAGGUAACGGCCCACCAAGGCGACGAUUGGUAGCCGGACUGAGAGGUUGAACGGCCACAUUGGGACUGAGACACGGCCCAGACUCCUACGGGAGGCAGCAGUGGGGGAUAUUGCACAAUGGGGGAAACCCUGAUGCAGCGACGCCGCGUGGAGGAAGAAGGUUUUCGGAUUGUAAACUCCUGUCGUUAGGGACGAUAAUGACGGUACCUAACAAGAAAGCACCGGCUAACUACGUGCCAGCAGCCGCGGUAAAACGUAGGGUGCAAGCGUUGUCCGGAAUUACUGGGUGUAAAGGGAGCGCAGGCGGACCGGCAAGUUGGAAGUGAAAACUAUGGGCUCAACCCAUAAAUUGCUUUCAAAACUGCUGGCCUUGAGUAGUGCAGAGGUAGGUGGAAUUCCCGGUGUAGCGGUGGAAUGCGUAGAUAUCGGGAGGAACACCAGUGGCGAAGGCGACCUACUGGGCACCAACUGACGCUGAGGCUCGAAAGCAUGGGUAGCAAACAGGAUUAGAUACCCUGGUAGUCCAUGCCGUAAACGAUGAUUACUAGGUGUUGGAGGAUUGACCCCUUCAGUGCCGCAGUUA
This 727-nucleotide ribosomal RNA is filed under the name uncultured bacterium. RNAcentral's name for it is "bacterial SSU rRNA". It matches the Rfam family "Bacterial small subunit ribosomal RNA", at positions 111 to 854 of the family's 1533-position model. The record is from RNAcentral.